Molecule: ribosomal RNA, 226 nt
Filed under: uncultured bacterium
Lineage: Bacteria
Description: partial 16S ribosomal RNA
Rfam family: Bacterial small subunit ribosomal RNA
Source: RNAcentral
UACGUAGGGUGCGAGCGUUGUCCGGAAUUAUUGGGCGUAAAGAGCUUGUAGGCGGUUUGUCGCGUCUGCUGUGAAAAUCCGAGGCUCAACCUCGGACUUGCAGUGGGUACGGGCAGACUAGAGUGUGGUAGGGGAGACUGGAAUUCCUGGUGUAGCGGUGGAAUGCGCAGAUAUCAGGAGGAACACCGAUGGCGAAGGCAGGUCUCUGGGACCACUACUGACGCUG